This 446-nucleotide ribosomal RNA is filed under the name uncultured bacterium. RNAcentral describes it as "partial 16S ribosomal RNA". It matches the Rfam family "Bacterial small subunit ribosomal RNA", at positions 338 to 795 of the family's 1533-position model. The record is from RNAcentral.
CCUACGGGUGGCAGCAGUCGAUAAUCAUUCACAAUGGGGGAAACCCUGAUCGUGCGACGCCGCGUGGGGGAAUGAAGGUCUUCGGAUUGUAAACCCCUGUCAUGUGGGAGCAAAUUAAAAAGAUAGUACCACAAGAGGAAGAGACGGCUAACUCUGUGCCAGCAGCCGCGGUAAUACAGACGUCUCAAGCGUUGUUCGGAAUCACUGGGCGUAAAGGGUGCGUAGGCUGUUUCGUAAGUCGUGUGUGAAAGGCGCGGGCUCAACCCGCGGACGGCACAUGAUACUGCGAGACUAGAGUAAUGGAGGGGGAACCGGAAUUCUCGGUGUAGCAGUGAAAUGCGUAGAUAUCGAGAGGAACACUCGUGGCGAAGGCGGGUUGCUGGACAUUAACUGACGCUGAGGCACGAAGGUCAGGGGAGCGAAAGGGAUUAGAUACCCGUGUAGUC